This 71-nucleotide transfer RNA is filed under the name Marmota monax (woodchuck). RNAcentral's name for it is "tRNA.Ala". Lineage: Eukaryota; Metazoa; Chordata; Mammalia; Rodentia; Sciuridae. The record is from RNAcentral.
GAGGUUGUGGCUCAGUGGUAGAACACUUGCGUAGCAUGUGUGAGGCACUGAGUUCGAACCUCAGCACCACA